CCGACCUUAGCUCAGUUGGUAGAGCGGAGGACUGUAGUGGGAUCAAUCCUUGUAGCUAUCCUUAGGUCGCUGGUUCGAAUCCGGCAGGUCGGA
This 93-nucleotide transfer RNA is filed under the name Prunus dulcis (almond). RNAcentral describes it as "tRNA tRNA.Tyr". It matches the Rfam family "tRNA". From Rfam's summary of the family: Transfer RNA (tRNA) molecules are approximately 80 nucleotides in length. Their secondary structure includes four short double-helical elements and three loops (D, anti-codon, and T loops). Lineage: Eukaryota; Viridiplantae; Streptophyta; Magnoliopsida; Rosales; Rosaceae. The record is from Rfam by way of RNAcentral. RNAcentral also lists the same sequence under 3 other names.